GGCUGGUCCCAAGGUAGUGAGUUAUCUCAAUUGAUCGUUUGCAGUCAGUUACAGAUCGAACUCCUUGUUCUACUCUUUCCCCCACUUCUCACUACUGCACUUGACUAGUCUAAA
Y RNA from Callithrix jacchus (white-tufted-ear marmoset), 114 nucleotides. It matches the Rfam family "Y RNA". From Rfam's summary of the family: Y RNAs are components of the Ro ribonucleoprotein particle (Ro RNP), in association with Ro60 and La proteins. The Y RNAs and Ro60 and La proteins are well conserved, but the function of the Ro RNP is not known. The record is from Ensembl. Lineage: Eukaryota; Metazoa; Chordata; Mammalia; Primates; Cebidae.